CUUCAUUUUAAGCAUCAAACUAUCAAGAGUAAUUGAUAAAAAAAUUAUACAAUUUAAUGUUCGUAAUACCAUAAGAUUUGGCCAAAGUGGUGACUAACAAACAUCAUUAAUCGAACAUUAAUUCCAUAAACUUCACAAAAAAGUAUGAGACAGAGCAUUCUUUUAAGCUAAUAAUGUGUAUACUGAAUAAUACAACACUGUGAAAUGAAAGUAGAGAAAAGAAAGUAACUGAAGCUAUACACGAAAAUUUAUGCCUUCAAGGUUUGACCAAAUUGCCAACUAUUAGGGGUAACUAUGGUUCUGUCACAUGUUAAAGAUGGCCUUACUGGAUCCCAUCUAUAAUUUUCAGAUUAGUAAACCAAUUAUUAAUAUUUUACGUACCAUUUUUGUAUUCUUUCAACAGCAAAUCCUCCUCUAUUUACCCUUUUUCCAACUAUUUGAAGUUAUUAAAAAGAAAAUGAAGAACCUAAAAACAAAUUAAUACAAUUAAUUAUUCAUGCACAUAUGGUCUGAUUUCACGUUUCAACAAAAGAGACCCAAUAUUCCACCAUUUAAAUUAAUUAAAUUGUGUUUUAACAACAUAAUCCAAUGAAGAUAGUCAAAAGGUGUGACGCGAAGGCAAUGAGUGGCCAAUAAUUUUAUAGCCAAAUCUUUAAUACUGUACAAGUAAUAAAGAUGAGAGUUUCAAAUGUGAUAUGACCAAACAUCAACAAGGUUUGAAACCCGUGCACCAAUUGAAGAUAUUGAACAAAGACUUCCAAAUUAAUCUUUAUUAAAACAUGAAACUUUAAUUGUAUUCUUAAUAAUUAAGGAUUAAUAAGCGAAAAAUGUUAAUCUUUUACAAAGGAAAAACAAGAACUCUUUAACUUUGGCUCUAAUACCACUUGUAAGUAAUUUAACCCUAAUAUAAAGAUCUUGGAAUUUCAUGAUUUUCACAAAUAAAUUUAAUUGAUCAAGAAAUAUACCUUAAUCCAUGAUAGUUAAUUGAAUACUUAGACAUACAAAAUAAGAGAAACAAUAAAACCAAGAAACAGUUCUCUCUCUUUUCCCCCUCUGUAAUUGAACGUAUAUCUUUUAAUUUGAUGGAUUCCAUUCACGUUUUCUCUCUUUUCUUCAAUAAGCUAAUAGAAUUUUAGUAAAAAUAAACCACUUAAAUUAAUUUAUUAACAAUAUUACUUGGGCCAUAUUAAUUGGUCUCACAGUCCUUGCUGCUAGUGAGGCUCGGUGUAACCAAGUUUGCGAGCAUAGAGAACAAAGCAACCUACCUCAGACAAAGAAGUGAGCGUUUAUUGAUGAAGAAGCAGUAGUCAAUGGCCAAGUAGCUUGGACUGAAAAUCUUCGAAGGUAAAAUAAUUGUCACGUUUUGCAAAGGAGAAUGCGGUGAUAAAUGAAGCGAAGGAUGGGUUCAGAUUAGCCAGGAUGAAUGACGAAAGAUAAAAAUCAUCCAAUGGUUUCCCAACUGUAGCUAACUAGUUGGCCAUGACCGGGCUAGCACUCGGGAAGGGGGCACAACUACCCGUGCUGGACUCCAUUAGAACUUCAAUAGCCACCGGACACCAGUUGUAGAAGGGAUGAGCGGCGAUGGAAGAAAGGUGAGGACUGAGGAAGAUGACAGGCUGUUGGGUUCAAUUUUUUUAGUAGUUU
Molecule: long non-coding RNA, 1644 nt
Filed under: Olea europaea subsp. europaea
Lineage: Eukaryota; Viridiplantae; Streptophyta; Magnoliopsida; Lamiales; Oleaceae
Source: RNAcentral